RNAcentral lists this transfer RNA (67 nucleotides) under Prietella phreatophila (Mexican blindcat). RNAcentral describes it as "tRNA-Cys". Lineage: Eukaryota; Metazoa; Chordata; Actinopteri; Siluriformes; Ictaluridae. The record is from RNAcentral.
AGCCCCGCGGUGUAUGCCACAUUAGAUUGCAAAUCUUAAGAAGCCGACUAAAGUCCGGCCGGGGCUU